GUGCUCGCUUUGGCAGCACAUAUACUACAAUUGGAACGAUACAGAGAAGAUUAGCAUGGCCCCUGCGCAAUGAUACAGAAGACAUGAUACUCUACAAAGAAAA
Small nuclear RNA from Neogale vison (American mink), 103 nucleotides. Lineage: Eukaryota; Metazoa; Chordata; Mammalia; Carnivora; Mustelidae. The record is from Ensembl.